RNAcentral lists this ribosomal RNA (258 nucleotides) under Liurana alpina (Alpine papilla-tongued frog). Its description in RNAcentral is "partial 12S ribosomal RNA". Lineage: Eukaryota; Metazoa; Chordata; Amphibia; Anura; Ceratobatrachidae. The record is from RNAcentral.
CUUGAAACCCAAAGGACUUGACGGUGCCCCACCCCCCCUAGAGGAGCCUGUUCUAUAAUCGAUAAUCCCCGCUACACCUCACCACUACUUGUAUUUUCAGCCUGUAUACCGCCGUCGUAAGCUUACCAUGUGAACGCCCCCACAGUAAGCCUAAUGGGACCCCCCCCCCUCCCCCCCCCCCAUACCUAAUCCAAUAUCGCACCCUAGAAGAGGCAAGUCGUAACAUGGUAAGCGUACUGGAAAGUGUGCUUGGAAUAA